RNAcentral lists this ribosomal RNA (246 nucleotides) under uncultured Gardnerella sp. Its description in RNAcentral is "partial 16S ribosomal RNA". It matches the Rfam family "Bacterial small subunit ribosomal RNA", at positions 109 to 356 of the family's 1533-position model. The record is from RNAcentral. Lineage: Bacteria; Bacillati; Actinomycetota; Actinomycetes; Bifidobacteriales; Bifidobacteriaceae.
AGUAAUGCGUGACCAACCUGCCCCAUGCUCCAGAAUAGCUCUUGGAAACGGGUGGUAAUGCUGGAUGCUCCAACUUGACGCAUGUCUUGCUGGGAAAGUGUUUAGUGGCAUGGGAUGGGGUCGCGUCCUAUCAGCUUGUAGGCGGGGUAAUGGCCCACCUAGGCUUCGACGGGUAGCCGGCCUGAGAGGGCGGACGGCCACAUUGGGACUGAGAUACGGCCCAGACUCCUACGGGAGGCAGCAGCG